AUACGGAGGGUGCAAGCGUUAAUCGGAAUUACUGGGCGUAAAGCGCGCGUAGGCGGCUGAUUAAGUCGGAUGUGAAAUCCCUGGGCUCAACCUAGGAACUGCAUCCGAUACUGGUCAGCUAGAGUUUUGGAGAGGUAAGUGGAAUUUCCGGUGUAGUGGUGAAAUGCAUAGAGAUCGGAAGGAACACCAGUGGCGAAGGCGACUUACUGGCCAAAAACUGACGCUGAGGUGCGAAAGCGUGGGGAGCAAACAGGAUUAGAAACCCCAGUAGUCC
Molecule: ribosomal RNA, 274 nt
Filed under: uncultured bacterium
Lineage: Bacteria
Description: partial 16S ribosomal RNA
Rfam family: Bacterial small subunit ribosomal RNA
Source: RNAcentral